AUUGAACGCUGGCGGUAUGCUUAACACAUGCAAGUCGAACGGUAACAGGCCUUCGGGCGCUGACGAGUGGCGGACGGGUGAGUAACGCGUAGGAAUCUGCCUCAUAGUGGGGGACAACGUGGGGAAACUCACGCUAAUACCGCAUACGCCCUACGGGGGAAAGCGGGGGAUCUUCGGACCUCGCGCUAUGAGAUGAGCCUGCGUUAGAUUAGCUAGUUGGUAGGGUAAAGGCCUACCAAGGCGACGAUCUAUAGCUGGUCUGAGAGGACGAUCAGCCACACUGGGACUGAGACACGGCCCAGACUCCUACGGGAGGCAGCAGUGGGGAAUAUUGGACAAUGGGCGCAAGCCUGAUCCAGCAAUACCGCGUGUGUGAAGAAGGCCCUAGGGUUGUAAAGCACUUUCAAUUGGGAGGAAAACCUGCCGGUCAAUACCCGGCAGCUUGACAUUACCUUUAGAAGAAGCACCGGCUUUAACCCGUGCC
RNAcentral lists this ribosomal RNA (484 nucleotides) under uncultured bacterium. Its description in RNAcentral is "bacterial SSU rRNA". It matches the Rfam family "Bacterial small subunit ribosomal RNA", at positions 30 to 509 of the family's 1533-position model. The record is from RNAcentral.